This 465-nucleotide ribosomal RNA is filed under the name Vreelandella stevensii. RNAcentral describes it as "partial 16S ribosomal RNA". It matches the Rfam family "Bacterial small subunit ribosomal RNA", at positions 338 to 795 of the family's 1533-position model. Lineage: Bacteria; Pseudomonadati; Pseudomonadota; Gammaproteobacteria; Oceanospirillales; Halomonadaceae. The record is from RNAcentral.
CCUACGGGGGGCUGCAGUGGGGAAUAUUGGACAAUGGGCGAAAGCCUGAUCCAGCCAUGCCGCGUGUGUGAAGAAGGCCUUCGGGUUGUAAAGCACUUUCAGUGGGGAAGAAAGCCUUGGGGCUAAUACCCUCGAGGAAGGACAUCACCCACAGAAGAAGCACCGGCUAACUCCGUGCCAGCAGCCGCGGUAAUACGGAGGGUGCGAGCGUUAAUCGGAAUUACUGGGCGUAAAGCGCGCGUAGGCGGUCUGAUAAGCCGGUUGGGAAAGCCCCGGGCUCAACCUGGGAACGGCAUCCGGAACUGUCAGGCUAGAGUGCAGGAGAGGAAGGUAGAAUUCCCGGUGUAGCGGUGAAAUGCGUAGAGAUCGGGAGGAAUACCAGUGGCGAAGGCGGCCUUCUGGACUGACACUGACGCUGAGGUGCGAAAGCGUGGGUAGCAAACUGGAUUAGAUACCCUGGUAGUC